AUCUCUUUCCAGUUUCCUGCCAAUUCCACCAAAAAGAAAUGGCAUUAGUGUGCUUUGUAGUCAAGAGGGGCUCAUUUCAUAUCUUAGUUCUGCCUUUAACUUGUGUGACUACAGGCAAGUUACUUAGCAGCUCUAAGCCCAAAUUUCCUCAUCUAUAAAAUGGAACUAUGAAUGUUACUUACUUACCUUAGUUCAUCCAUUCAGAAAAUAUUUAUUUUUAAUUUAAUUUAAUUUUUUUUUUUUUUUGAGACAGAGUUUCUCUCUUGUUGCCCAGGCUGGAGUGCAGUGGCACCAUCUCGGCUCACUGCAACCUCCGCCUCCCAGGCUCAAGUGAUUCUGCUGCCUCAGCCUCCCAAGCAGCUGGGAUUACAGACACGUGCCCCCAUGCCCAGCUAAUUUUUGUAUUUUUAGUAGAGACGGGGUUUCACCAUCUUGGCCAGGCUAGUCUCCAACUCCUGACCUCAGGUGAUCCGCCUGCCUUGUCCUCCCAAAGUUCUGGGAUUACAGACGUGAGCCACCGCGUCCGGCCCAGAAAAUAUUUAUUUAAUGCUUUCUAUGUCCCAAGAACUAUUCUAGCUGCUGGAAAUACAACAGUGAACUAAACAAGUCUUAGACUCCAGUAGGGGAGAAAAGAUCAAAUAAAGAUAAUGCAAUAUAACAUUUUUUGCACAGUGCUUGAUACAUAGAAAGUGCUUAAUGAGAGCCAGCUUUAUGACAUUUUUUCACAAGUUCAAGGAAAUAUGCAUGAUUUUCUUUUCAAAAGUCCAAUAAAAUAUGUAGCAUCAAUGGAUCUUAAUAAACAGAAUCACAGAACUGGGAGAUAUGUAGAGUUAUCUUGUCAUAAAAUCACAGAAUGUCCCAGCUGGCAGAAAAUCAGGUAUUUACUUGGUCCAGUGGUUUUCAAACCGGGGUUCUUUUCUGGGGUCCCAAGGGAGAGGCCAACCAGAUCAGAUCAAAUUUGACCUUUUACCUAUGUGAUAAACUGGGGUUCCCAAGGAAAAAGCUUUAUUUAUUUAUUUAUUUAUUUAUUUAUUUAUUUAUUUAUUUAUUGAAAAUUCACUUUGUGCAGACAAGGAAUGUGCAGCUUAGCAUGGGGAAAGCCUCUUUCCAAGUCCCUCUAACGGAGCAGGAAUUGUAAAUGGAGAGCUUUUCAACCAUGUGAUAUUCUGCCUCCCCAAGUAAUUAAAUCAGCAAUUAUGUGUUGAUCACCUUCUACUUGAGGGGCUCCCUGGGGGGUUUAAAGAUAUCUGUCCUUCAUUCCCGACCUCUAGAAGCUUCAAAUCAAGUUGGGGAGAUUCCUGAGCCAUUAAUUAUAAAUUUAUGCAAAGGUUCCAAACUACAUCCUAACAGCAGUGGUUCGUUCCUGAGCCCCACGCCUACCCUUCCAUCUGCAUCCACAGUAUCCCCAACUGGGAGGUCCUAGAGUCCACAAAUUCAGCGUAUCCAAACUCACUCUGUGGUCAACUGUUUCUAAGAUGGUCCCAAUGAUCCCUAACUCCUGGUAUUCAUUCCUUUUGUGGAAUGCCCCCUCGCACACACUGGGGUGUGACCUCACCUAGUAACUUGUUUCUAACAGAUAGAAUAGGGCAGAAAUGAUGAAAUGUCACCUCUAAUAUUGGGUUAUAAAAAGACCGUGGCUUCUAUCUUGGGGGGCUUUCUCUCACUCUCUUGCUCACUCACUCGGAGGGAGGCCACCUGCCAUAUUGUCAUGAGCUGUCCCAUGGAGAGGCCCAGGUGGCAAGGAACUGAUUUCUCCAGUUAGUGCUCUCUGCCUUCAUACUUUUCUGCCUGAAGGCAUUACUUACUUUGUGAAUUAUUUACUGGGCACUACUAGAUACCAGGCACUGUUCUUGGCACUGAGCAUAAAGCAGUGAUAAAACAAAACUCCUACCCCCUUGUAGCUUAUGUUUUAGAUGGGAGAGAUACCACAAGCAAGUCAAUAAUGAAAGCAAGGUAAGAACACAGAGUGUGAUACAGUGGGUGGAGGAGAG
This 1991-nucleotide long non-coding RNA is filed under the name Homo sapiens (human). RNAcentral's name for it is "non-protein coding lnc-MORN5-2:1". Lineage: Eukaryota; Metazoa; Chordata; Mammalia; Primates; Hominidae. The record is from RNAcentral.